UACGGAGGGUGCAAGCGUUGCUCGGAAUUAUUGGGCGUAAAGGGUAGGUAGGUGGUCUCAUUUGUCUGGGGUGAAAGCCUUGAGCUUAACUCAAGAAGUGCCUCAGAAACGGUGAGACUGGAGUCCUGGAGAGGGUCGUGGAAUUCCCGGUGUAGCGGUGAAAUGCGUAGAGAUCGGGAGGAACACCAGAGGCGAAGGCGGCGACCUGGACAGGUACUGACACUCAACUACGAAAGCGUGGGGAGCAAACAGG
RNAcentral lists this ribosomal RNA (253 nucleotides) under uncultured bacterium. RNAcentral describes it as "partial 16S ribosomal RNA". It matches the Rfam family "Bacterial small subunit ribosomal RNA", at positions 524 to 776 of the family's 1533-position model. The record is from RNAcentral.